Molecule: ribosomal RNA, 440 nt
Filed under: uncultured bacterium
Lineage: Bacteria
Description: partial 16S ribosomal RNA
Rfam family: Bacterial small subunit ribosomal RNA
Source: RNAcentral
CCUACGGGGGGCAGCAGUGGGGAAUAUUGCACAAUGGGGGAAACCCUGAUGCAGCGACGCCGCGUGAGUGAAGAAGUAUUUCGUUAUGUAAAGCUCUAUCAGCAGGGAAGAACAUGACGGUACCUGACUAAGAAGCCCCGGCUAACUCCGUGCCAGCAGCCGCGGUAAUACGUAGGGGGCAAGCGUUAUCCGGAUGUACUGGGUGUAAAGGGAGCGUAGACGGCAAUGCAAGUCUGGAGUGAAAGGUGGGGGCUCAACCCCCGGACUGCACUGGAAACUGUACGGCUGGAGUGCAGGAGAGGUAAGUGGAAUUCCUAGUGUAGCGGUGAAAUGCGUAGAUAUUAGGAGGAACACCAGUGGCGAAGGCGGCUUACUGGACUGUAACUGACGUUGAGGCUCGAAAGCGUGGGGAGCAAACAGGAUUAGAUACCCCAGUAGUC